UACGUAGGGUGCGAGCGUUGUCCGGAAUUAUUGGGCGUAAAGAGCUUGUAGGCGGUUUGUCGCGUCUGCUGUGAAAAUCCGGGGCUCAACCCCGGACUUGCAGUGGGUACGGGCAGACUAGAGUGUGGUAGGGGAGACUGGAAUUCCUGGUGUAGCGGUGAAAUGCGUAGAUAUCAAGAGGAACACCGGUGGCGAAGGCGGCUCUCUGGACAGAUACUGACGCUGAGGCUCUAAAGUUAGGGGAGCAAACAGGAUUAGAUACCCGCGUAGU
RNAcentral lists this ribosomal RNA (271 nucleotides) under uncultured prokaryote. RNAcentral's name for it is "partial 16S ribosomal RNA". It matches the Rfam family "Bacterial small subunit ribosomal RNA", at positions 524 to 794 of the family's 1533-position model. The record is from RNAcentral.